Molecule: non-coding RNA, 334 nt
Organism: Ailuropoda melanoleuca (giant panda)
Lineage: Eukaryota; Metazoa; Chordata; Mammalia; Carnivora; Ursidae
Source: Rfam
GGGUGUUGGGGGUGAUCUAGCAGUGAUAUGUCACUCCAUUGAUCGCCAGGGUGGAUUUGGCUGAUCUGGCUAGCUAGACAGGCGUCCCCUUCCUCCCCCUUCCACGUGCAUCCCUCCUAUAGCUGUGCGCUCAAAGAGGAUGACCUUCCCAGAUACUGUUCUUCCAUCAAGGAUAUAUGAGAAGCUGCACACCUGUUAGAACCUCCAAACAAGUUCUCAAGUUCAGUUUGUAGGAGAAUGUAGGGUAGUGAAGAUUCCAAGACUCCAGAAUGUAGGGUAGUGAAGAUUACAAGACUCCGAAUGAGGCACCGCAUGUGGCUGUCUGCCUUUCUUU